AAUCAACGCUGGCGGCGUGCCUCAGACAUGCAAGUCGAACGCGAAAGGCCCCUUCGGGGGCCGAGUAGAGUGGCGUCCGGGUGAGUAACACGUGGGUAAUCUACCUUCGGGUGGGGAAUAACGACCGGAAACGGUCGCUAAUACCGCAUAAUGCAGCGGCACCUAAUGGUGACAGUUGUUAAAGCGGGGGAUCGCAAGACCUCGCGCCUGAAGAGGAGCCCGCGGCGGAUUAGCUAGUGGCAGGGUAACGGCCUACCAAGGCGACGAUCCGUAGCCGGCCUGAGAGGGCGGUCGGCCACACUGGCACUGACACACGGGCCAGACUCCUACGGGAGGCAGCAGUCGGGAAUUUGGGCAAUGGGCGAAAGCCUGACCCAGCAACGCCGCGUGAAGGAUGAAGCUUUUCGGAGU
Molecule: ribosomal RNA, 411 nt
Filed under: uncultured bacterium
Lineage: Bacteria
Description: bacterial SSU rRNA
Rfam family: Bacterial small subunit ribosomal RNA
Source: RNAcentral